CUCACUCCCGUGGGAUUCAGGCAUGGAAAACUCCUGUUCUUCACCCUCAUAUCCUCCCUGGAUGUGGGAGAACAUCUGUGGUGUGGUUUUCUUCUUAUUUCAUUUGAAAUAAACUGAACCCCUCAUUUGCAGUGGUUCCUAAGCAACAAAGUAGAGGGGGAAAAGCCAAACAAGCAGCAGGUAAUUUGUGUCUCCUUGUUGGAGCCUUUAAAGGAUGUUAAUCCGUGGCUCUGGAGUCUCUGACAGGGGGAGGAUGCUCGCAGCAAGGAGCUGUUAAUUCCUCUUUGCAACCUGCAGCCUUGGAUUUCAAACUUUGUGUCUUCCCUGGCCCUUCCUGAGCGCUGGAGAGGAGCUGGAGUUCAGCUGAUUCCACUGGAGCACUGAACAGAGGUGCUGCUGAGCACCUCCCCAGCCCCUGGGGGACGAGAAGCAGCAAGAGCAGUUAAUUCUCCACCUGGCAUGAGAACACUUCUCUCCUUUCCAGCACCGAGGAGAAAUCCAGAGUAAUCCUAUUUUUGGUCUGGCUGAUAAUUGCACUCUUGCUGGCUGCAUAUUGAUGAACAGCGUUUUCAACAUCCCUAAUGAAUUUUUAUCAACAAGCACAAGGGGUUGUGUCUGCUGGCAGAGGUUUUUUAGCACUCCUCAGAGGCAUUUGAUGAGUGGAUGA
Molecule: long non-coding RNA, 667 nt
Filed under: Cyanistes caeruleus (blue tit)
Lineage: Eukaryota; Metazoa; Chordata; Aves; Passeriformes; Paridae
Description: lncRNA (ENSCCEG00000022306.1)
Source: RNAcentral